AUGAUGGAAACACCAUGGCUGCGGCGGCCCAGCUCUCUCUGACACAGUUAUCAAGUGGGAAUUCUGUAUAUGAAAAAUACUAUAGACAGGUUGAUACAGGCAAUACUGGAAGGGUGUUGGCUUCUGAUGCUGCUGCUUUCCUGAAAAAAUCAGGGCUUCCAGACUUGAUACUUGGAAAGAUUUGGGAUUUAGCUGACACAGAUGGCAAAGGUAUCCUGAACAAACAAGAAUUCUUUGUUGCUUUGCGUCUUGUGGCAUGUGCCCAGAAUGGAUUGGAAGUUUCACUAAGUAGUUUGAACCUGGCUGUUCCUCCACCAAGAUUUCAUGAUACCAGUAGUCCUUUGCUAAUCAGUGGAACCUCUGCAGCUGAGCUCCCAUGGGCUGUAAAACCUGAAGAUAAGGCCAAAUAUGAUGCAAUAUUUGAUAGUUUAAGCCCAGUGAAUGGAUUUCUGUCUGGUGAUAAAGUGAAACCAGUGUUGCUCAACUCUAAGUUACCUGUGGAUAUCCUUGGAAGAGUUUGGGAGUUGAGUGAUAUUGACCAUGAUGGAAUGCUUGACAGAGAUGAGUUUGCAGUUACGGAGUCUCACUCUGUCACUCAGGCUGGAGUGCAGUGGCGGGAUCUCGGCUCACUGCAGCCUUGGCCUCCUGGAUUCAAGUGAUUCUUCCACCUCAGCCUCCUGAGGAGCUGGGAUUACAGGCAUGCACCACCACCCCCGGCUAAUUUUUAUAUUUUUAGUAGAGACAGGGUUUCGCCAUGUUUGCCAGACUGGUCUCGAGCUCCUGAUAAUAGGUGAUCCACUCGCCUCGGCCUCCCAAAGUGCUGGGAUUACAGGCAUGAGCCACCUCUUCAGGCCCAAGACAAAAAUAUAGUUAGAGUAGAUGGGGAAUAGUAGUGUCAUCAUUUGAUAAACGGUAGUGUAUGCUAAGGUAAAUGAAUAAACACAAUUUAUCUUAUAUGCCUGGAGCCUAUUCCCAGGUAACUGGCCUUUUUUUUUUUUUUUAAUAAAAAGCUUUAUUAAAAGAAUAAUUUUUGAAUAAUAAAUACAUUUGUAGGAAAUUACUACCUUGAAUUUUGUUUUAAAUAGUAGACACCCCUUUAUCUUCUCCUAGAUUUACUUGUUAACCAUUUUGUCACAUUUGCUUUCUCCCUGUAUCCAUAUUCUUCAGAAUUUUUUCCUAGUUUUAAACUCUAGCUUGUGUGAUUUUAAUACUGCUUCUCCUGUUCCCUCUUUUUUUGAAUUACCUGAUAUUUCUUAUGUUUGUUGUGUAUGUCUCUUGAAAAUGGCAGAUUUCUGUAUUUUAAUGCUUUACCUAAUUGGAUAGUUUUUAAGAUAAUAGCACUUACAUUGAUUUGAUUUUCCCUUCUUUACCUAUUUAUUUUACAUUUUUAUUUUCUCUGUUUCUUACUGUUGCUUAUUAUCAACUUGUGAUUCAUUCCCUUAUCCCGCCUCCCAGUUAAUGUGGAAAUUUUGUUAUAAUGUCUUGUUUCAUUAAUAUAGUUAAUACAGGUUGAGCAUCCCUAAUCUGAAAAUCCAAAAUUUGAAAUGCUUCAAAAUCUGAAACUUUUGAGUACUGACAUGACCCACAAAGUGGAAAAUUCCACUCCUGGUCUCAUGUGAUAAGUUGCAGUCAAAACUUUUGUUUCAUGCACAAAAUUAUUAAAAAGAUUGUAUAAAAUUAUCUUAGAUUAUGUGUAUAAAGUUUAUAUGAAACAUAAAUGAAUUUCAUGUUUAGACUUGGGUCCCAUCCCCAAGAUAGGAUAAUAUUCCAAAAUCUGG
Molecule: small RNA, 1778 nt
Filed under: Pan troglodytes (chimpanzee)
Lineage: Eukaryota; Metazoa; Chordata; Mammalia; Primates; Hominidae
Description: retained intron
Source: RNAcentral